The sequence is a regulatory RNA element, 52 nucleotides long. It matches the Rfam family "DUF3800-VI RNA". From Rfam's summary of the family: Actinobacteria, Planctomycetes, Proteobacteria, Spirochaetes. Nearby to DUF3800 The record is from Rfam.
UAGUCGAGAGCGUUGAUCCGUCGAUGCGUUGAACGAUUGUUUCACUCGGCUU